GUGCGGCCACUCUAACCUCUCCUCUAGCACCACUGGCUUCUCUCCAGUCUCCAAAAUGUGUGUUUGACUCCCAUCUGACACCUUUAUCGGAGACAGUCACAACACUUCUUUGCAUAAUAAGCAGGCGUUCCCUCCCCAGCAGAAAGUUGGCACAACACAACACUCCUGACAGCUUUCAACAACCUACCCCGGCUUCUCUCUGGUCUUCUCUGCACUGUGUGUGAGGAGUCAGCAUCCAGUCCCUGAGACAGGACUCUAAGUUGGAGAUAUCCAAGAUAAAUCAGAAGAAGCCAUGAGAUCAUUAAUAAACUGUCUUUGUAAACUACCUCAA
Molecule: long non-coding RNA, 331 nt
Organism: Peromyscus californicus insignis
Lineage: Eukaryota; Metazoa; Chordata; Mammalia; Rodentia; Cricetidae
Exons: 2
Source: RefSeq, a predicted model, not a curated record